GAUGAACGCUAGCUACAGGCUUAACACAUGCAAGUCGAGGGGCAGCGGGAUUGAAGCUUGCUUCAAUUGCCGGCGACCGGCGCACGGGUGAGUAACGCGUAUCCAACCUUCCGUACACUCAGGGAUAGCCUUUCGAAAGAAAGAUUAAUACCUGAUGGUAUGAUGAGAUUGCAUGAUAGCAUCAUUAAAGAUUUAUCGGUGUACGAUGGGGAUGCGUUCCAUUAGGUAGUAGGCGGGGUAACGGCCCACCUAGCCUACGAUGGAUAGGGGUUCUGAGAGGAAGGCCCCCCCACAUUGGAACUGAGACACGGUCCAAACUCCUACGGGAGGCAGCAGUGGGGAAUAUUGGUCAAUGGGGGAAACCCUGAUGCAGCGACGCCGCGUGAGUGAUGAAGUAUUUCGGUAUGUAAAACUCUAUCAGCAGGGAAGAUAAUGACGGUACCUGACUAAGAAGCACCGGCUAAAUACGUG
RNAcentral lists this ribosomal RNA (471 nucleotides) under uncultured bacterium. RNAcentral describes it as "bacterial SSU rRNA". It matches the Rfam family "Bacterial small subunit ribosomal RNA", at positions 28 to 507 of the family's 1533-position model. The record is from RNAcentral.